CCUACGGGGGGCAGCAGUGGGGAAUAUUGCGCAAUGGGCGAAAGCCUGACGCAGCGACGCCGCGUGAGGGAUGAAGGUCUUCGGAUCGUAAACCUCUGUCAGCAGGGAAGAACGGUCACUGUGCUAAUCAGCAGUGAAUUGACGGUACCUGCAAAGGAAGCACCGGCUAACUCCGUGCCAGCAGCCGCGGUAAUACGGAGGGUGCGAGCGUUAAUCGGAAUUACUGGGCGUAAAGCGCUCGUAGGCGGUAUGUCAAGUCAAGGGUGAAAUCCCCGCGCUCAACGUGGGAACGGCCUUUGAAACUGGCAGACUGGAGGGUGUGAGAGGAUAGUGGAAUUCCAGGUGUAGGAGUGAAAUCCGUAGAUAUCUGGAGGAACAUCAGUGGCGAAGGCGACUAUCUGGCACAUAACUGACGCUGAGGAGCGAAAGCGUGGGUAGCAAACAGGAUUAGAUACCCUGGUAGUC
RNAcentral lists this ribosomal RNA (465 nucleotides) under uncultured bacterium. RNAcentral's name for it is "partial 16S ribosomal RNA". It matches the Rfam family "Bacterial small subunit ribosomal RNA", at positions 338 to 795 of the family's 1533-position model. The record is from RNAcentral.